Molecule: unclassified non-coding RNA, 378 nt
Filed under: plant metagenome
Description: partial contains 5.8S ribosomal RNA, internal transcribed spacer 2, and large subunit ribosomal RNA
Rfam family: 5.8S ribosomal RNA (bases 1-105)
Source: RNAcentral
GAAAUGCGAUAAGUAAUGUGAAUUGCAGAAUUCAGUGAAUCAUCGAAUCUUUGAACGCAGCUUGCGCUCCUUGGUAUUCCUUGGAGCAUGCCUGUUUGAGUAUCAUGAAAUCUUCAAAGUAAAUCUUUUGUUAACUCAAUUGGUUUCUACUUUGGUAUUGGAGGUCUUUGCAGCUUCACACCUGCUCCUCUUUGUUCAUUAGCUGGAUCUCAGUGUUAUGCUUGGUUCCACUCGGCGUGAUAAGUUAUCUAUCGCUGAGGACACUGUAAAAGGUGGCCAGGGUAAAUGCAGAUGAACCGCUUCUAAUAGUCCAUUGACUUGGACAAUACUUUUAUGAUCUGAUCUCAAAUCAGGUAGGACUACCCGCUGAACUUAAGC